Molecule: transfer RNA, 69 nt
Filed under: Ovis aries (sheep)
Lineage: Eukaryota; Metazoa; Chordata; Mammalia; Artiodactyla; Bovidae
Rfam family: tRNA
About the family: Transfer RNA (tRNA) molecules are approximately 80 nucleotides in length. Their secondary structure includes four short double-helical elements and three loops (D, anti-codon, and T loops).
Source: Rfam by way of RNAcentral
CCUGAUGGCUCAGAGGUUAAAGCGUCUGCCUCCAAUGCAGGAGACUCGAGUUCGAUCCCUGGGUCAGGA